CGAACGGGUGAGUAACAUAUCGGAACGUACCGGGUAGCGGGGGAUAACUGAUCGAAAGAUCAGCUAAUACCGCAUACGUCUUGAGAGGGAAAGCAGGGGACCUUCGGGCCUUGCGCUAUCCGAGCGGCCGAUAUCUGAUUAGCUGGUUGGCGGGGUAAAGGCCCACCAAGGCGACGAUCAGUAGCGGGUCUGAGAGGAUGAUCCGCCACACUGGGACUGAGACACGGCCCAGACUCCUACGGGAGGCAGCAGCU
This 254-nucleotide ribosomal RNA is filed under the name uncultured Neisseria sp. RNAcentral describes it as "partial 16S ribosomal RNA". It matches the Rfam family "Bacterial small subunit ribosomal RNA", at positions 99 to 355 of the family's 1533-position model. The record is from RNAcentral. Lineage: Bacteria; Pseudomonadati; Pseudomonadota; Betaproteobacteria; Neisseriales; Neisseriaceae.